AGUAACAUGGCGGCGCUUGUUAUUAUAAAUUAUUGUGUAAUGUGGAUUAGCGAUUAUUAUACCAUAAAAAAGCUUUGAUAGUGUAUGUGUUUAUGUGGUGCGUUAUUGGGUGGAUUUGUUUUAAGUGGAUAUAUGUAUAAGGCAGUGUGGGAUCGAUGUAGGACCGAACAAGUGCAUAUGUUGGUGACUGUAAAUAAAGUGCAGUUGCAGAACGAUGUGGCAACAGAGGAAGAGUCAUGAUACAGACAGCAGCAGUUCCAAUGCCCAGCAGAGAGGUUGAGAACAACCAGCGCCACGGGAGAUCUCCAAACCAUUACCAGUAUGCCAUGUCCCAGAGGUAGAUAACAAACAGCAUUGUUAAAGAUGAUGUGUAAUUUGCUGUGAUAGUAGUAUGUUUUUAAGUCGACAUUUGAAUGAUUGUUUUGUUUUCAGGCAUCGCAAUGGUGGUGGGAGAUCAUUCCAACAGCGCGUGGCUGCGAACUUAAAACACCCUCUGAAUGCUGUAGUUCUGUGCAUUGGUACCAGCAACGGGCACACCAUGGAGCGAAGACCAUGCUUUGAGUUAACAUCUUUCCAGGUAUAGGCCGCACGAUAGCACAACGCCAGAGUUCAGGGAAAGUAUGCGUGCUUAUGGACCGGUUAAUAAUGUCUGUGAUCACUUGCAAAGUGGUUGGUAGUGUGAGGCAUAUCAUUUCGAGGCUAAUGCCAUCGAUACCCUGUGCAUUCGAUUUUAGACUUUUAAUUAUUUUGAGGACUGCUUCGGCCUUGGUCGCUGUGAGUGUAAAGGAAGCGUCACUAAACCUGUGUGAUUGAAAAUAAGACAGCUGUGAGUCGCUGUGUUGACAAUUACCCGGCACAUCUAGAAACGCUGCAUUGAUUUCGUCAGGUUUGUCAAAAUGUCCUGGUAGCAAUCUUUGUUUGUGGUCUGGCAACACAUCUGUUUUUAAAUUGCGCCAUAGAAGCUUUGGGUACUCAAUGUUGUCAUUAAUGCUCUUAGCAAAGUAUGCUUUCUUCUCACUAGCCAAUGCCGUAAUUGCUUGAUGUUUUAAAUCAAGGUAAUAUUUUUUAUGUUCUGGCAAUUUCGAUUUGUGAAACCUAUCCCUAGCCUCGUCUCUUAGUUUAGAAAUAAGCCUGAUAUUGUCAGUAAUCCACGGAGUGGGACGGGUUUUAAAAGUCUUCGUUUUGAUGGGAGCGUGGAGGUCAAACAGAUGGAUCAUUGCAGAGUUAAAUGUUUGCACCAUGGCGUUGAUAUCCAUCAUGUCACUAAUACGC
Trichoplusia ni (cabbage looper) is the source of this 1272-nucleotide long non-coding RNA. RefSeq lists it as uncharacterized. The transcript has 3 exons. Lineage: Eukaryota; Metazoa; Arthropoda; Insecta; Lepidoptera; Noctuidae. The record is from RefSeq and is a predicted model, not a curated record.